This 122-nucleotide small RNA is filed under the name Pongo abelii (Sumatran orangutan). Its description in RNAcentral is "processed transcript". Lineage: Eukaryota; Metazoa; Chordata; Mammalia; Primates; Hominidae. The record is from RNAcentral.
CGACUUCGGCGGGACCCAGGUGAGAAAGGCCCACCUGUGUCCUGGUUGAGGGUCUCCAGGGUUCUUUGGGGCCCGAGGAUUCCUGAAAUUGUGGAUCACCCACCUAUGCUUUGAGACAUGCU